GAUGAACGCUGGCGGCGUGCCUAAUACAUGCAAGUCGAGCGAACAGAUAAGGAGCUUGCUCCUUUGACGUUAGCGGCGGACGGGUGAGUAACACGUGGGUAACCUACCUAUAAGACUGGGAUAACUUCGGGAAACCGGAGCCAAUACCGGAUAAUAUUUCGAACCGCAUGGUUCGAUAGUGGAAGAUGGUUUUGCUAUCACUUAUAGAUGGACCCGCGCCGUAUUAGCUAGUGGGUAAGGUAACGGCUUACCAAGGCGACGAUACGUAGCCGACCUGAGAGGGUGAUCGGCCACACUGGAACUGAGACACGGUCCAGACUCCUACGGGAGGCAGCAGUAGGGAAUCUUCCGCAAUGGGCGAAAGCCUGACGGAGCAACGCCGCGUGAGUGAUGAAGGUCUUCGGAUCGUAAAACUCUGUUAUUAGGGAAGAACAUACGUGUAAGUAACUGUGCACGUCUUGACGGUACCUAAUCAGAAAGCCACGGCUAACUACGUG
This 497-nucleotide ribosomal RNA is filed under the name uncultured bacterium. Its description in RNAcentral is "partial 16S ribosomal RNA". It matches the Rfam family "Bacterial small subunit ribosomal RNA", at positions 28 to 507 of the family's 1533-position model. The record is from RNAcentral.